RNAcentral lists this small RNA (628 nucleotides) under Malus domestica (apple). RNAcentral describes it as "sRNA MD11G0003200". Lineage: Eukaryota; Viridiplantae; Streptophyta; Magnoliopsida; Rosales; Rosaceae. The record is from RNAcentral.
AUGUUUGAGUAAGGAGCGAUGAGUGUGAGUGCAAUCUGAUUCUGAGGCAACUUCUGCACUUUUCACAUGACAAUUAUUGUCAUCUUAUACACACAAUAAUAUCAUAAACUAAAUAAAAUGGUGGAAGGAAGGAACUCGGAAGCGAAAGCAUCUGGAUGUCAAUUGCCAUGCCUAUUCAAAGGAUGACGCCUGGGCAUGAGGUGCUGCGUCUCUUUUCUUGUAAAUCCCUGCACAGCUUGUCUUGCUUAUGCUGCUUGUUUGGCUUCUGUUGGCUUUCUGUUUGUUUGGCUUCUUAGCCCUGGCUUUGUUGUAGCAGUUUUUCCAAAAAAAAAACUUUGCACUGUAUUCCUGACAAGUAAGAAUCCCAAUGAAAAGUGUUCUCGUCAGCUGCGUUCAUGAUUACCAAGGUGGAGAUAUGACUGACGCAGAGCCGCAGAGGGGACCCGUCGCUUUUGUUUUCCGUCACCUGCCAACCACAGUUACCAUCGUCUCAUCACCAACUAAUUUGUGGAAAAAAAAAAAUUGUGUGGAAAUUAUUUUGACUCUUCUAUUGAGCGAGAGAAUGGAUCCGGAUCUUUUUGUGAAUAUCUCGGAAAUUUAUUAAUCGUGUUUAUUUAUCAUACAUUAU